Ictidomys tridecemlineatus (thirteen-lined ground squirrel) is the source of this 4436-nucleotide non-coding RNA. Lineage: Eukaryota; Metazoa; Chordata; Mammalia; Rodentia; Sciuridae. The record is from RefSeq and is a predicted model, not a curated record.
CAACAUCUUUGUUUGUAUGUGGUGCUGAGGAUCAAACCCGAGCCGCACACAUGCCAGAAAGCAACUCUACUGGAUCUCAGAUUCCACGUGGAAACCUGGAAGUUUCUGGGGAAUAGAGAAGAGAUGGCUGAAAAGAUUCUGAACCUGGAAAUGAAUGCAGAGUAUUGGUAAGGCUUAAAGGGCUGUUGUGCUCGAUAAUUCUGUGAGGUUACAAGGAGAGGGGUUUGAGUUUAAUACAGAGAGUUACCUGGCAUUUCAACUGCAUGGACGGAGCUAUGUGCAUGAGCCUGAACUCCCACCAUGGGAAGGCAGAGACCUGCUGUGCUCUGGGAAAGCAAUUGUGCUCAGUGACUAGUCUGUGUGUGACCCUCCCAGUACUGCCAUCUGCUGAGGUUUGCAUAGAGCAGGCUCUGUCACAUCCCUGCCUGUGAUUGCCUUCUCUGAGGAUCUUGCCUUCUCUGAGGCUCUCUUCCUUCACCUGAAAAUGUGGGGUGAGCUGUGCUUACCUUUCAGGGUCCUGGUGAGGCCUAGAUGGGGUUGCAUAUGUUGAGCACCUAGCAGGAGCCUGGCUCAUACCUCCAUCACCGCUUGGGAUUUCCUGCAGUAGGAGGAGUGACAGCUCACUCUUGCAUCCCCUGGAGGUCCCGUUGCUGCAUGAAGCCAGUGGGUCCCGGCCUUCUGCUUAGAGACACAGAAAGCCGGAUUUAGAUUUCAGUUCCACCGCAUGCUAAGCAACAGAGUUUGCCCACUUUCUAAAAAUAUGUGUCCAGGUUUAUUUUCCUUCUCCAGGGUUCUGGCUUCCUGCUCAGAAACACAGCAUCACAGGAAGCUGUCCAUCUGAGCUCACACUUCCCCUUGCCUGUGGAGGACACAGCUCUUCCCAGAGCUAGUCUCUCCCUGCACCUCCCUCCCGGGCCUCCUCCUGAGGAGUUAGCACCACUCAGCCAGGCCCAACAAGAACACUGGGGGAUUGUCCUGCCAAAGCCCCUGAGCCGCCUGAGGCUGACAGGAAGGAAGUGCUUGUCUGAGUUGCUGGGCUGGCAGGGUGCUGCCCCUGACGUGCCACCGUACACGGCACAUUCUGUGCAGAGGGAGGCAAGUCUGGGGCUAAACGGAGGCUACUCUGACAUCUUAGAGGUGUGCCCUCUUCAGCCAGAGUCUCCAAGAUAGAAGGGAUGACCCAGGCCCCACCAUGGGGCAGAAGGCCCUUCAGAGCUGCAGUACCCUUCCUUCCUAGUGCCAUCUGACCCUUCUUUGUCCCCAAAUCACUCUUUCCCAGACCAUCCUGUCCCAAGCCAGGGCUCUUUCCAGAAGGGAAAAGCAGACUCCACCAUCCUAACUCCCAGAAUGUCACCCUGGAUUCUCCACAGCCUCUUCUAGUUAGACCCUCUCAGGCUUUCCUAGAACUCUAUGCCACCUAGUGCUAAGAGAGGGCAGAGUCUCAUAGGAAGACUGAACUCAGUUCCACCUCAGCUCUCCCUGGUCGUGUGUCUUACCCAGGUGAGUGACGUCAAAAGACUGAAUGAGCACAGACAUGUAAAACUUGUGACAACCGUAACACUCAUGUAGUCUAGACAAUGGUUCUCCAUCUAUAGUCCCUGCUGGCAGAGUAAACAUCAUGGGGGAGUUUGUUAGAGAAGCAAAUGAUCAGACUCACUCAGAUCCAAUGGGUUGAAGCCUCUGAAGGUGGGACUCAGGGAUCUGGGUUUCCAUAAGCCCUCCGUGGGAUUCGGUCGCAUGGGGCCAGCACACAGAAAGCAGAGCCCUCUUCUAAGGUGCACAGAAGGAGAACCACCCUCAGGUGCAGAUCCUUGAGGUAGAAACCCUGCUACACUAUCUUUGCACCCCCAGUACCUAAUGGGGCAUCUGGCUCAUAGUAGGUGGCCAAAAUAGUGAAUAAGAAUAGCUCAGAAGUCUUACAAUAAGUAUAUGUUCCUCUCAUAAAUUUAGAAAGAAGAUAAUCUGGUUUGAGGGGGACAAAAGUCAUAUAAGAGGAAAGAGUAGACAGGGCCACUUUCUUUGUCCUGAGCAUGUCAGGGAGAUGAUCAGUGGGGACCCUGGGCCAGACCAGAGCCAGCCCACACUUCCUGCAUCCUUGUUGGUACAUGACUUCUGGGUCUUCCUUGAGGGAUCAACAGUGGUCAGCCUUUCAUGGAUUCAUCCUACAGGUACUUGAGCACUUAAUCUGUGCCGUCCUAGGGGCUGAGGACACAGCGGUGAGCAGGACAUUCAGGUCCCACCCUUCCCAAGCCUGCAUCAAGGCAAGAAGCCAGGUGGACCCACUGAUUUUGAGAAGGUAUGCUGCUGUGUGAAAGGGAUAAUACAGGGGCUACAGGACAGAAGUCAGAGAAGAGGGCUUAGUUGAGACUUGAAGACAAGCAGGAACCAAAGGAACGAAAAGGUGAGAGGGUGUGUUUGAGGCAAAAGGUACAACAUGUGCAGACCCAGGGCAGGUCAGGAGGAAAUGCUGGUUGGGAGAAAAGGGUGGGUGAGGGCUAUCCAUCUCCACAGGCACCAGCUAAAACAGUGAGCCAGGCAGGAGUCCCAGAGGGAGAAGCACAGGCCCUGCCUACAGAGAUCCCACACUCCAACAGUCAUUCAGCAAACACUUGGGCACCAUUCUAUACACCGGGAACACAGUGAAAUCCGAGCAAAACAAAGCCAGAGCCUGCUCUGAAGCUCUUCCUGGUGAUGCACCUAGACAACAAAGGCAAGAGUAACACUGCAGGGAGAGGGUAAGCACCGGUCAUGGGUGGAACUCCUGACUGGGAGAGGACAGGUGGGGCUGAGGAAGUGGAGGCCAGGGUCACCACCAGGGAAUCAGGAGUCAGGAAUGCACCGACUCAUUCCUCAAGUCACCCCACCACUCGGGGAUCUGUGACUUCAGCCUUACGGAUUUCAACGUCCUGGUUUGUAAUCAAAGCCAGGGAGAAUGGCCAGGCUUUCAGGGCAGGAGGCAACAAGAAGAAAAUACUACGCCUAUCCCACUGUACUACGAAGCGUCCGCCCCAGGCCUACUGUGCUGCCCGGAACAGCCUUGUGUCCGCCUCACCGUCCACACACAGCAAAGGUUAGUGGAGCCAGGCUGAAGCUUCUGCAGCUGAGAGCAGGGAGCUCAGUUUGUGUGGCUUGGCAUUUGGGACCUAAGUCCUGUGCCCUAAAAACGUCACUUCCCAAGCUGGUUCUCUGUCUGUCCAAGUCCCAGAUCUGGUCUAGAUUAAGUACAGAGGGAAGCAGUAAAUGACAGGGCCAGAGAGGUGCUUGUGGGCCAGGCUAAUAACACUUAAUGGGAGGCUGAAUCCCAGCCACCAGCCACCCUGGCUGAUCCUCUAAUGACACAUGUUGGUGGGUGGCCUCCCACCGGAGGAGGCUGCCUUUGGAGGCAUGGCCAGGAAUGGGCCCUGUGAGAUAUCCUCUCAAAUGGGGCCUUAAACAAAACCCACCUUGGAUUCAGACUUUAUUCCUUUAUUCAGACUUUAUUCCGUAUACUUUCUGAAAGUGUGUAGGAGGGAGGACUGGGAAUCAAGAUGGGCUGGAUCAUGGCCCAGGUUGCUUCCCAUCUCUGGCUCCUCCUUGGACUAGCAGGAUAGACCAGGCCACUCUGUGACCUGUGAUCUCAGUGGCUUAAAUAAAUAAAAGUUUAUUUUACUCAGGGCAGGCAUCUCUUCUCCAUCAGAUGGCUUCACUAGCAAGAGCCCAUGGCUAGAAUGUCCCCCUAAAUUCAAGUGUUGGAAACAUCAUCCCCAGUUCAAUAGGGUUGGGAGGCAGGGCCUAAUGGCAGGUGAUGAGGUCACAGGGCUCCACCCUCACAAAUGGAUUAAUGUCAUAUCAUGACUGGUUUUGUUAUGAAGACUUCAACCCCUUUUGCCUGAUCUUACACAUUCUUUUGCCAUGUGACAUUUCCACCAUAUUAUGACACAGCAGGAAAUGUAGCCCCUUGAUCUUGGACUUCUCAGCAUCUAAAACUGCAAGCUAAACAAACUCCUGUUGAUUGUAGAUUAACCAGGCUAUGGUGUUCUGUUACAGUAGCACAUAACAGACUAAGACAUGGGGUCCCCAGUGUCCCUGAAGCAGGGAAGGAAGAAUGGAGAGGGUCUUGUGAGCAAUAUUUGAAGGCCAGGCCUGAAUGUGGCUGAUAUCUUUCUUACCACAUAUCACUGGACUGGACUCAUCACACGGCCACAUCCAACUGCAAGAGGACCAGGAAAUCAGUCCCCUCUCCAGGAAGAUGCUGUGUUAUGGAGAAUGGGUAGCAUGCUUCCAUUCAUUUGUUCAGUUUGUGGAGAGGCAUCUAAUAAGUACCAGGCAACAUGUUAAGUAUUGGAGACAUAGACUUCCCUGUCCUCAAGAAGUUGAGUAAGUGACACCCCAGAAGAUAUAUCAUCACAGUUCUCUAGAGGCUACCGUGGAGCAGCAAAUAAAGGCCCCUAACCCAG